UAUCUACCAGCUAAGCCAUUACACCACAGGUGUCAUUUUAAAUGGCCCAGAAGACCAGGUCAUACGACAAGGUUUGAAAAAAGUCAACUUUGAGCAAUAUGAUGGGGUCAUCUCUGUUGUAAAUAUCAGACACGUGCACUGGAGGUUUGUGGGAAUAUUUCAGGAAGAGAGGAAACCAGCAUGGAAGAAAAGACUGGGUGGACACUAUGUGGAAGCCUGGGACAAUACACC
Xyrauchen texanus (razorback sucker) is the source of this 231-nucleotide long non-coding RNA. RefSeq lists it as uncharacterized. The transcript has 3 exons. The record is from RefSeq and is a predicted model, not a curated record. Lineage: Eukaryota; Metazoa; Chordata; Actinopteri; Cypriniformes; Catostomidae.